AUUGAACGCUGGCGGCAUGCCUUACACAUGCAAGUCGAACGGUAACGGGCCUUCGGGUGCCGACGAGUGGCGAACGGGUGAGUAAUACAUCGGAACGUGCCCGAUCGUGGGGGUUAACGAGGCGAAAGCUUUGCUAAUACCGCAUACGAUCUACGGAUGAAAGCAGGGGACCGCAAGGCCUUGCGCGGACGGAGCGGCCGAUGGCAGAUUAGGUAGUUGGUGGGAUAAAAGCUUACCAAGCCGACGAUCUGUAGCUGGUCUGAGAGGAUGAUCAGUCACACUGGAACUGAGACACGGCCCGGACUCCUACGGGAGGCAGCAGUGGGGAAUUUUGGACAAUGGGCGCAAGCCUGAUCCAGCCAUGCCGCGUGCAGGAUGAAGGCCUUCGGGUUGUAAACUGCUUUUGUACGGAACGAAAAGCCUUCUUUUAAUACAGGGGGGUCAUGACGGUACCGUAAGAAUAAGCACCGGCUAACUACGUG
This 482-nucleotide ribosomal RNA is filed under the name uncultured bacterium. Its description in RNAcentral is "partial 16S ribosomal RNA". It matches the Rfam family "Bacterial small subunit ribosomal RNA", at positions 30 to 507 of the family's 1533-position model. The record is from RNAcentral.